RNAcentral lists this ribosomal RNA (253 nucleotides) under uncultured bacterium. RNAcentral's name for it is "partial 16S ribosomal RNA". It matches the Rfam family "Bacterial small subunit ribosomal RNA", at positions 524 to 776 of the family's 1533-position model. The record is from RNAcentral.
GACGAACCGUGCGAACGUUGUUCGGAAUCACUGGGCUUAAAGGGCGCGUAGGCGGGCUGACAAGUCUGGGGUGAAAUCCCGCGGCUCAACCGUGGAACUGCCUUAGAUACUGUCGGCCUCGAGGAAGGUAGGGGCAUGCGGAACUGUAGGUGGAGCGGUGAAAUGCGUUGAUAUCAACAGGAACUCCGGUGGCGAAAGCGGCGUGCUGGACCUUUUCUGACGCUGAGGCGCGAAAGCUAGGGGAGCAAACGGG